This 482-nucleotide ribosomal RNA is filed under the name uncultured bacterium. RNAcentral describes it as "partial 16S ribosomal RNA". It matches the Rfam family "Bacterial small subunit ribosomal RNA", at positions 30 to 507 of the family's 1533-position model. The record is from RNAcentral.
AUUGAACGCUGGCGGCAUGCCUUACACAUGCAAAUCGAACGGGAACGGGCCUUCGGGUGCCGACGAGUGGCGGACGGGUGAGUAAUACAUCGGAACGUGCCCGAUCGUGGAGGAUAACGGGGCGAAAGCUUUGCUAAUAGCGCAUACGAUCUACGGAUGAAAGCAGGGGAGCGCAAGGCCUGGCGCGGACGUAGCGGCCGAUUGCAGAUUAGGUAGUUGGUGGGUUAAAAGCUUUCAAAGCCGACCACCUGCAGGUGGUCUCAGAGGGUGAUCAGCCACACCGGGACUGCGCACAGGCCCCGCCUCCCCCGGGAGGCCGCCGUGGGGAAUUUUGGCCACUGUCCCCAACCCUGAUCCAGCCCUGCCGCCUGAAGGAUGCAGGCCUUCGGGUUGUAAACUGACUUUGUACGGAACGACAAGCCUUCUUUUCCUACAGGAGCGUCAUGACGGUACCGUAAGAAUAAGCACCGGCUAACUACGUG